GAUGAACGCUGGCGGCGUGCCUAAUACAUGCAAGUCGAGCGAAUGGAUUAAGAGCUUGCUCUUAUGAAGUUAGCGGCGGACGGGUGAGUAACACGUGGGUAACCUGCCCAUAAGACUGGGAUAACUCCGGGAAACCGGGGCUAAUACCGGAUAACAUUUUGAACCGCAUGGCUCGAAAUUGAAAGGCGGCUUCGGCUGUCCCUUAUGGAUGGACCGGCGUCGCAUUAGCUAGUUGGUGAGGUAACGGCUCACCAAGGCAACGAUGCGUAGCCGACCUGAGAGGGUGAUCGGCCACACUGGGACUGAGACACGGCCCAGACUCCUACGGGAGGCAGCAGUAGGGAAUCUUCCGCAAUGGACGAAAGUCUGACGGAGCAACGCCGCGUGAGUGAUGAAGGCUUUCGGGUCGUAAAACUCUGUUGUUAGGGAAGAACAAGUGCUAGUUGAAUAAGCUGACACCUUGACGGUACCUAACCAGAAAGCCACGGCUAACUACGUGCCAGCCGCCGCAGUAA
RNAcentral lists this ribosomal RNA (515 nucleotides) under uncultured bacterium. RNAcentral's name for it is "partial 16S ribosomal RNA". It matches the Rfam family "Bacterial small subunit ribosomal RNA", at positions 28 to 523 of the family's 1533-position model. The record is from RNAcentral.